GUCUAGUUUCAAUUAGUUACGAGUUGUUGAGCCCCUUUCACGGCGGUAACACGGGUUCAAAUCCCGUCGGGGACGCCA
This 78-nucleotide transfer RNA is filed under the name Terriglobia bacterium. Its description in RNAcentral is "tRNA-Glu". Lineage: Bacteria; Pseudomonadati; Acidobacteriota; Terriglobia. The record is from RNAcentral.